RNAcentral lists this ribosomal RNA (253 nucleotides) under uncultured bacterium. RNAcentral describes it as "partial 16S ribosomal RNA". It matches the Rfam family "Bacterial small subunit ribosomal RNA", at positions 524 to 776 of the family's 1533-position model. The record is from RNAcentral.
UACGAGGGGGGCGAGCGUUGUUCGGAAUUAUUGGGCGUAAAGGGUGCGUAGGCGGUUUGGUAAGUCUUAUGUGAAAUCUAUGGGCUCAACUCAUAGUCUGCAUGAGAAACUGCCGGGCUUGAGUAUGGGAGAGGUGAGUGGAAUUCCUGGUGUAACGGUGAAAUGCGUAGAUAUCAGGAGGAACACCUGUGGCGAAAGCGGCUCACUGGACCAUAACUGACGCUGAUGCACGAAAGCUAGGGGAGCAAACAGG